GUUGGCACAACCAAGUAGACCAUGUGGGCAUCAAGGCUGGUUCUCCUGGCUGUGACUACUGCUGUAUUCGGGGAGCUUGCCUGGGCUCUGAAAUGUUUCAGCUGCCCGCAGCCCACCAACAUCUCCGAGUGCACUACUAUUGUGAACUGUGCCCCUGAGGAGACCAUGUGCAAGACGACUAUGUAUUCCCUGGAGGAAGUGUACCCGUUCUUGGGAGAUGCUACAGUCACAAAGGCAUGUGCCCGGAAGUGUGUGCCCUCAGAUGUGGAUGGCAUCGGUCUGACUCGGCCUGUCUCAUGCUGUAACCAAGAUCUAUGCAACAAGGGAGGGGCUGCUGCUCUGGGGAGCUUUGGGGGGCUGGUCUUCACCCUCCUUGUCAUUACCUUCCUCCUCCUAUACACUAGAAUCUAGAGGGGCAGGGCCGGACAAGGGUUUCCCUCUCCCUUCUUCCAAUUCUUAGAGUUUCCUUUUCAAUAUCCAGCACCCCUAACUCCCCCUGUCUUUAUCAUUAUAGAUAGUGGGAGAGAAAGGUGUCACCAGUCUGAGGGGAAAAUGGAAUUUCUGUCCUCGAGAACUCCCAGUCUGAGGGGGAGAUUCAGUCGUGUCCUUCAGGGAGUUCCGGGCUGAGCCAAGUAGAUACAGCCUUUUCUCUCUUUUUCUGACUGCUCUCCACCUGGUUUACACAUCUAUAAAAUAGGGAUCAUAGCACCUACCUCACAGGGUUGUUAAAAGGAUCAAUUGAGAUAAGACAUGUAAAGCACUUACAAACUAUAAAAUGCUAUGAGAAUCUUGUUGUUAGCUAUCAUCAUCAUCAUCAUCAUUAUCUCCACUUGUCUAUUUUUCUUUCUCCCAAUCUCCUUUCUGUUUCUCUCUGUGUCCUUUCUACCUGCCUUUCUCUCCUCUCUGUCUGUUCUUGCUUUUACUGGCUAUUGAUCUCUAUCCACUGUCUCCUCUUUUUGCUGUGUCUCCACUCACAGUGUGUCUCCUUCCACCCGACAAUUAAAGGUGCCCUACAACAGACUAGCUGACCUGAUCAGUCUAUCCAAAUCAGUGGAGCUGUUCAAGCACGGACUGAACGGCCAUUUAUUAGGGGAUGUUUCAGAAGGAAUUCUUAACUUUUCCAAGGAGGGGAAGCUCCUCAUUUCUAAGGAUCAAGUUCUUCACUGAAAAAAAGGGGGGUAAAAAUUACUACCUACCUCAAAGGAUUGUUGUAAAGGAAGGUUUUGUGAGCCUGAAAGCUCUACAGAAAUGCGACUCCUUAUAUUCACACAGAAUUAAAGAGCACAGGACGCAUCAAUCCCGAAAACACAAAUAUCCACAUAUGCACAAUCAUAGAUACACAAAGAAGAAUAACACUUGGCAUUGGUAUAUUGCUAAAAGGUUUGCAUGGGCAGCUAUGGAUAAAGUGCUAAGCCUGGAGUCCAAGAGACUCAUCUUUCUGACUUCAAAUCUGGCUUCAGACACUUGCUUAGCUUGUGACCCUGUACAAGUCAUUUAUCCCUGUUUGCCUGUUUCCUCAUCUAUAAAAUAAGCACUUUACACAUAUCAUCUCUUUGCUACUCACAAGAUCAAAUCUUAUUACACCCUUUUCAUAGAUGAGCAAAGUGAGACUCAGAGGUUAAGUGAUUUGAACAUAGUCAUAUGACUAAUAAAUGUUGAAGGGAGAAGGUCUAGCUUGACUCCAAGUGCAACACUCUAUCCACUAUACUAAACUGCCUUCCCAGCAAAGUUCUCCAAUCUAUCAAUUAUUCAACCUUGGAUAUACAAUAUUUAUUCAAUGCAGAUAUGCAUGUAGACACAGUCACAAAUAUUUACACAAGUAACCAUUCAUAUACAUGUAUAUCACAAGACAGAAGGGGCAGAGUGAGUAGAAGAGGGAACAUGUACAUAUAUAUGUACAUCCCAAGACGAAGGGGGAAGAGGCGGGUGGGGGAGGAAGGGGCAAGCAUGGAGAGAUACUUCCAGAAGUUUAUCUUCACUUGCUGUCUUGGAGUCCAUCCAGUAAGCUGUGGUUCUUAAUAUGUGGCUUAAAGGACUAUAUGGGAUCAGGUAACUGAAUGUGGGAGUUGCAAAAUUAUGAUUUAUUACCAGUAAAUGUUUGAUUAGUCAACCUAGUUUAUAUUCCCAUGUACUCAGGGUCAAGUAAAAAUGUUUUGAAUGAAAAGGGGUCUCGGGUGGAAAAAGUUUACGAAGCCCUACAGAAGGUCAUCAAAAAAGGAGCUUCAAAAACGUUUCAGAUUAGGAAGGAGGGUCAAAUCUUAGUACAGACCAUUCUAGAUUUAUGUAAAUUUAAAUUGUGCAAAUUCGACUUUACAUUAAGAAUUCUGAAACCACAUUCCCCCCCAAAAAAAACAUCAAUGCUAACUUUACAGUAAUAUGUUCUCUCUGCCUCAGUCUCUCCCACUCCUCCCUUUCCUGGCUCUCCACUGGAUUCUCCCUGGCCUCCCACUUCCCACCAGGAAAAAAAAACCCAAAAGAACAACUCUCUGGCGAAAGAAGAAUAAUGGAAACACAGAGACAUUGCUAGAGCAUAGCUGCCUUCCAUAGGGCCUUGGCCCCAAGAGAUCUUUUCCUACUCCCCCUCCAACCACAGUGGUCACUCCACCCUCUC
RNAcentral lists this long non-coding RNA (2611 nucleotides) under Sarcophilus harrisii (Tasmanian devil). RNAcentral's name for it is "lncRNA (ENSSHAG00000030624.1)". Lineage: Eukaryota; Metazoa; Chordata; Mammalia; Dasyuromorphia; Dasyuridae. The record is from RNAcentral.